This 71-nucleotide transfer RNA is filed under the name archaeon. RNAcentral's name for it is "tRNA-Cys". It matches the Rfam family "tRNA". Rfam says of the family: Transfer RNA (tRNA) molecules are approximately 80 nucleotides in length. Their secondary structure includes four short double-helical elements and three loops (D, anti-codon, and T loops). The record is from RNAcentral.
GCUGGGUUGGCGGAACGGUUACGCACCCGCCUGCAGAGCGGGUCAAUGGGGUUCGACUCCCUGGCCCAGCU